AGUGAACGCUGGCGGUAGGCCUAACACAUGCAAGUCGAACGGCCGCACAGUAAGAGCUUGCUCUUACGGGUGGCGAGUGGCGGACGGUUGAGGUAUACAUCGGAAUCUACUUUUUCGUGGGUGAUAACGUAGGGAAACUUACGCUAAUACCGCAUACGACCUACGUGGGAAAGCAGGGGAUCUUCGGACCUUUCGCGAAUGAAUGAGCCGAUGUCGAAUUAGAUAGUUGGCGGGGUAAAGGCCAACCACAGCGACGUUCGGUAGCUGGUCUGAAAGGAUGAUUAACCAGACUGGAAGUGAGACACGGCACAGACACCUGCGGGAGGCAGCAGCGGGGAAUAUUAGGCGAUGGGGCAAAGCCUGAUCCAGCCAUACCGCGUGGGUGAAGAAGGCCUCAGGGUUGUAAAGCGAUUUUGUUGGGAAGGAAGAGCAGCAGGUUAAUCCGCGACUGUACUGACGGUACCCAAAGAAUAAGCCCCGGCUAACUUCGUG
This 492-nucleotide ribosomal RNA is filed under the name uncultured bacterium. Its description in RNAcentral is "partial 16S ribosomal RNA". It matches the Rfam family "Bacterial small subunit ribosomal RNA", at positions 29 to 507 of the family's 1533-position model. The record is from RNAcentral.